Molecule: non-coding RNA, 30 nt
Filed under: Mus musculus (house mouse)
Lineage: Eukaryota; Metazoa; Chordata; Mammalia; Rodentia; Muridae
Source: RNAcentral
AAAGUUCUUUUGCCAAGAUGAGGUUUUGAG